Long non-coding RNA from Helianthus annuus (common sunflower), 953 nucleotides. RefSeq lists it as uncharacterized. The record is from RefSeq and is a predicted model, not a curated record. NCBI's taxonomy places the organism in Eukaryota, Viridiplantae, Streptophyta, Magnoliopsida, Asterales, Asteraceae. The transcript has 2 exons.
CCAAAUACGGUUCACCCACUUUCCCCCUCUACUCCUUUUUCACCAAAACUGAUUCACAUUCCAUCCUUAAUUUCUUAACCUUACUCCUUAAAUUCUUUCAUAUUUGCGCGCCUUCUACUUCCCUCCCCAAAUCCAAACAUAUUUCUUGAUAUGGUUUGAUUGAUUCUUAUCUAAUGACUGGUGAUUAUGGUUGUUAUUUGUUAAUUUUUGUCUAUUUGUUGAAUGUGCAUAGGUAUAUAUGACAUAUCAACUUGUAACUGUCGAAUUUUCUAUUUCAGCUUGUUGUGUUAUUCUUUAUUCCGUUGUGUUAAUGAUUUUAACCUGAAAAGUUAGGGCUGCUUAGAUGGAUGGUUUGUAACUUAGCGAAAGUGGAGAGACAACAUGAAGAUUGAAAAGCUUUUCAUGUUUGUUGCUGUUGGAGUUUUUAAGCAACAACAAACGUUGCUAGUUACUUUAACUUCAAAUUGUUCUACAAAUUACAAUCCCACUGCUUUAUCUCAUGGUACCUUUAUCAAUAACUUUGAGCCUUAGAAAUUGGAGACUUCAAAGGGGCUAUUUUCACCAUAAAUAUCGAUUGUAUAGAAACUGCAGACUUCAAAGGGGCUAAUUUUUCACCAUAACUAUCGAUUGCAGCAGGUUACAACUUGGAUUGGAUUUGGGCAUGUCCUGUUUUUAUCAGGUACUGUAUGAACUAAAGACCAAUAUCUGGAUUAAUUGAAGACCAAAGACCAAUCGGUUUACACUUAAAGUUAAGCGAGUCUAGUAUUGGGUACAGAAUUAUGCCAUGAUGGAGAGAUCCGAAGAGAACAUGAGGUUAUACGCUCAAGUGCCAAGUUAGAAUAUGGGUUCAUAUAUGCUUAGCAUAUUGUAUUGAUUAUGGAUAAUUUAGUUCUUUAUUGUGUUAUAUUUGGAUAAGUUGGAAGUUGGAUAUUUCAUUCUAUUUUGUUUGGAUA